AGCGAACGCUGGCGGCAGGCCUAACACAUGCAAGUCGAACGAACUCUUCGGAGUUAGUGGCGGACGGGUGAGUAACACGUGGGAACGUGCCUUUAGGUUCGGAAUAACUCAGGGAAACUUGAGCUAAUACCGGAUGUGCCCUUCGGGGGAAAGAUUUAUCGCCUUUAGAGCGGCCCGCGUCUGAUUAGCUAGUUGGUGAGGUAAAGGCUCACCAAGGCGACGAUCAGUAGCUGGUCUGAGAGGAUGAUCAGCCACAUUGGGACUGAGACACGGCCCAAACUCCUACGGGAGGCAGCAGUGGGGAAUCUUGCGCAAUGGGCGAAAGCCUGACGCAGCCAUGCCGCGUGAAUGAUGAAGGUCUUAGGAUUGUAAAAAUCUUUCACCGGGGACGAUAAUGACGGUACCCGGAGAAGAAGCCCCGGCUAACUUCGUG
RNAcentral lists this ribosomal RNA (433 nucleotides) under uncultured bacterium. RNAcentral's name for it is "partial 16S ribosomal RNA". It matches the Rfam family "Bacterial small subunit ribosomal RNA", at positions 29 to 507 of the family's 1533-position model. The record is from RNAcentral.